AGUGAACGCUGGCGGUAGACCUAACACAUGCGAGUCGAACGGCAGCACAGUAAGAGCUUGCUCUUACGGGUGGCGAGUGGCGGACGGGUGAGGAAUACAUCGGAAUCUACUUUUUCGUGGGGGAUAACGUAGGGAAACUUACGCUAAUACCGCAUACGACCUACGGGUGAAAGCAGGGGAUCUUCGGACCUUGCGCGAUUGAAUGAGCCGAUGUCGGAUUAGCUAGUUGGCGGGGUAAAGGCCCACCAAGGCGACGAUCCGUAGCUGGUCUGAGAGGAUGAGCAGCCACACUGGAACUGAGACACGGUCCAGACUCCUACGGGAGGCAGCAGUGGGGAAUAUUGGACAAUGGGCGCAAGCCUGAUCCAGCCAUACCGCGUGGGUGAAGAAGGCCUUCGGGUUGUAAAGCCCUUUUGUUGGGAAAGAAAAGCAGCAGGUUAAUACCCCGCUGUUCUGACGGUACCCAAAGAAUAAGCACCGGCUAACUUCGUG
RNAcentral lists this ribosomal RNA (492 nucleotides) under uncultured bacterium. Its description in RNAcentral is "partial 16S ribosomal RNA". It matches the Rfam family "Bacterial small subunit ribosomal RNA", at positions 29 to 507 of the family's 1533-position model. The record is from RNAcentral.